GACGAACGCUGGCGGCGUGCUUAACACAUGCAAGUCGAACGGUGAAGCGCCUUCCUUUUUGGUGGGUGUGGAUGAGUGGCGAACGGGUGAGUAACACGUGAGUAACCUGCCCCCUUCUUCUGGAUAACCGCAUGAAAGUGUGGCUAAUACGGGAUAUUCUGGUUCUGUCGCAUGAUGGGUCUGGGAAAGAUAUUGUUUCGGUGGGGGAUGGGCUCGCGGCCUAUCAGCUUGUUGGUGGGGUGAUGGCCUACCAAGGCGGUGACGGGUAGCCGGCCUGAGAGGGUGGACGGUCACACUGGGACUGAGACACGGCCCAGACUCCUACGGGAGGCAGCAGUGGGGAAUAGUGCACAAUGGGCGAAAGCCUGAUGCAGCGACGCCGCGUGAGGGAUGGAGGCCUUCGGGUUGUGAACCUCUUUCGCCAGUGAAGCAGGCCUGCCUCGUUUGUGGGUGGGUUGACGGUAGCUGGAGAAGAAGCGCCGGCUAACUACGUG
Molecule: ribosomal RNA, 494 nt
Filed under: uncultured bacterium
Lineage: Bacteria
Description: partial 16S ribosomal RNA
Rfam family: Bacterial small subunit ribosomal RNA
Source: RNAcentral